CCUGUUUUGAAUAAAUGGAUAGUGUAUAGUUAUUUUUAAAGUAAACAGAGGAGUCAGGAGUGCAAGCAAAAGUGAAGUUCGUAAAAUUCUGCAGAAUGUGGCAUGAACUUUUUUGCUACGUUUCCUUACAGAGAAGUGUUCAGAGAAAUAUUAUAGUUCAGUGGCAUAUGUCAUCAUCAGAGAGUACAGUGCAGUGCAAGAAAUAAUAAUGCGGGUACGCACAUUGGUCAUGCAGUCAAACCUUGAAACUAACCCACAAAUCUGUACUCCUUCUGAAGGAAGACAGUGUAGCGGUGGUGACAGUGAAUCUGCCACCCACCAACUAUGAACUACAUUUUGUACCAAUAAGACAUGCAUUUAUUUUUAUCUGUUGCAAAGCCACCUGCAUUUAGCUAGUACCCCCCCCCCAACUGUUUCAAAAUAUAAGGCUUAUUUUGAGGGCACAAAGAUUAAGAAUUGUUAGAAUAGGUGUCGAAUAUACUAGUCCUAUUUGGUUACGGUUGGACUUGGAGUUGUAAUAGGUGUUAGGGGUAGAGUUAGAGUCGGACUCUGUAACCUGUCAUCUCUCUUAAAUAGAGAGGGGGCACCACAAUGUAAUCAUGGCGACUACAAUGUAGCGUAGACACGCAGGGAGAUGAUGGCGGCAUGGCCAUGGACUCGUAGCGGCUAGGAGCUAUAUUGGUUGGGGAGGAGCGCCCAUAAUCAGAGCCCCGGGGAUGUAGGCUUCGGCUGAACCUCGUUAACAAAUAUCGUGUGUUCCUGUGUCGUCAUCUGGCAUGUCUUGGGUGAUUAAUGAUUGAAGCGAUCGAGAAGGUUAGUCGUCGUUCCGCUAUAUCGGCUAACUUUUAUAACAAGUGGUAUCAGAGCAGAAGGUUUCAACAUUGGAUCAAGAAGACAUGUGGAGGAGGAAACACGAGGUGGGGGUCGCGCAUCGACAGGAGAUCGUCAGCCGUGGCGAUGAGAUCGAUGGCGACAACGAGGACGUUGCGGAGGUGACAACCUCGCUCGCGAUCAGACCGGCGAUGGCGGAACUUGACCGGAAGACGGGGCCGAGCGUGGCCGAAGGCGACCGGAGAGAUCGGAGGGGUAGCGCCAUGGACGGCGCGCCCGACGCACGCGGCGAACGCGGCAGGGAGGCCAGUGACGGAAGGGCGAAGCCGGCGAGCGUGGCACGGCGCGGCGGACGUGCAAGGCCGAUGACGACGGGAUCGUGGACGGAAAACAUGAGGGCUGCGACUGCGGUGCGUGCAGAGGCACGAACGACACGUAUGUGUACGUGUCACAUGCAUACAGUACGCGUACAGAUGGUGGCCAAGAGCAAGAGAUAUGCACGAGUUGUUGCAAGCAUGCAGGAUAUUAAUUCCAUGCAUGGAUUAAUUAGUUGCAUCUUAAUGCAUGAGUGCAUACGAUUUCAAUUGGAUUUGUGUGGGACACGUACAAGCUGCGUGCAUGCAUGGGCAUGCAGAACAGACGACGUGGAUUGCUGCCGUGAGAGAAGAUGUGAGGAGAAGUCAAACAUCAAAGGCCUAAUUCCGUGUGGGAGCUGGUCAGGAGACCGUUUCUGAUAAGGCACGAAAUUAUGUCAUCGACGCGGACUCGGCUUGACGUGUCCAUCCGGACUCGAAGUCGAUCUGGACUCGGUAUCCCGGUGGCUGAUGCUAUUUAAGGAGCGGUCAGGACGUGAACCUAUGGCAGAAAAGGCGACGGGCAAUUGAUCGAGACACUCGUAAGCUUACCACGGAAGGCACAAAUCUGGGCUCAAGGCAAGAUCGUACAGCAGGCGUACAGGUGUGUGCAAACCGGACAGAACCAAAAGCAGGACGGAGAAAAACCGUGAAGCAGAUUAGUUGGAUCGGUGCGGCGGCGGACAGGUGGUUUGCUGUUGAAUGUCUGAGAUCGGAUCACAAGACGGGAUUGUGAAGACGAAUACGGACGGUUCUGAGAAGGGCGAGUAUUCUGGUGGCGACAGACCAGUCAGGUCGCGGGUUGGCAAGAUGGCGCCGACAGGUAUGAAAUUUGAUUUGGUGAAGUUUGACGGCUCUGGAAAUUUUGGCUUGUGGCAAACUAGGGUCAAAGAUUUGUUAGCUCAACAAGGUGCUUCAAAGGCUUUGAAGGGUGUCAAACCGGCCAAGAUGGAGGAUGACGAUUGGGAGGAGAUGCAGUUGCAGGUGGCUGCGACAAUAAGGCUAUGUCUUUCAGAUCAGGUCAUGUACCAUGUGAUGGAGGAGACCUCACCAAAGAUAAUUUGGGAAAAGUUGGAAGCUCAGUUUAUGUCCAAGACUCUGACAAUAAACUGUAUCUGAAGCAGAAGUUGUAUGGGCUAAAGAUGCAGGAAGGGGUGGAUCUGACAGCACAUGUGAACGUUUUCAAUCAACUAGUCACAGAUCUUGUGAAGAUGGAUGUGGAAGUUGACGAUGAAGACAAGGCCAUAGUUCUUUUGUGUUCGUUACCUGAAUCGUAUGAGCAUGUGGUGACUACUUUGACGUACGGCAAGGAGACCAUCAAAACUAAAGAUCACUUCUGCGUUGUUGGCUCGUGAUCAGAUGAGAAAGAACAAAGAGGGUGAAACAUCUCAAGCGGAGGGUUUGCUAGUCAAAGAAGAUCAUGCUGGGCAUAAGGUAAAGAAGAACAAAAAGAAGAAGGUGGUGCAGUGCUUCAGAUGUGAUGAGUGGGGGCAUAUAAGCAAGAAGUGCCCAAUACUGAAGGGAAAAGCUAAGGCUAAUGCAGCGACUUCUUCAAAUGACUCAGAUAGCGAUGGUUGUGAUCUUCUCAAAAUGUCAAGUGCACAGUCUAAGGAUGCAGAAGCGUGGAUAUUAGAUUCAGCUAGCUCGUUUCACGUGACGCCAAGGAAGGAGUGGUUCUUUUCAUACAAGUCUAGUGAGUUUGGUUUUGUCUACUUAGGCGAUGACACAAGUUAUCCAGCCGUGGGAGUAGGUGAAGUCAAAAUCAAGCUAGAAGAUGGAGGUGAACAUGUUCUUCAGGGUGUCAGGCAUGUACCAGGGCUAAAGAGGAAUCUGAUUUCGCUUGGAACCUUGCAUGAAGAAGGGUUAAUAUUUCGCGGUAAUCGGAAUAAGAAGACCAUGGAGAUCAUGAAGGGCAAGACGACUGUGAUGACUGGAGAGAAGGUGGAGUCGCAACUUUACAAGCUGCGAGGGUGCACUAUUGCAGGUGGAGUCCAGGAGGAAGCGGUUGCUGGGAUAGCAAUUGCUUUUGGUGGCGGCGGGUCUGGCGCAGACUCGUCGGGCGGCUUGCGGUGAAGCUGCGAAGAAGACAACCCAAGUCUAGAGGAUAGGUGGAUCGGCAUGGUGAUUCUACUACUUCUAGGUGGCUUAUAUUCGCCAAGGUGGAGUUUGUUAGAAUAGGUGUCGAAUAUACUAGUCCUAUUUGGUUACAGUUGGACUUGGAGUUGUAAUAGGUGUUAGGGGUAGAGUUAGAGUCGGACUCUGUAACCUGUCAUCUCUCUUAAAUAGAGAGGGGGGCACGACAAUGUAAUCAUGGCGACUACAAUGUAGCGUAGACACGCAGGGAGAUGAUGGCGGCUUGGCCAUGGACUCGUAGCGGCUAGGAGCUAUAUUGGUUGGGGAGGAGCACCCAUAAUCAGAGCCCCGGGGAUGUAGGCUUCGGCUGAACCUCGUUAACAAAUAUCGUGUGUUCCUGAGUCGUCAUCUGACAUGUCUUGGGUGAUCAAUGAUUGAAGCGAUCGAGAAGGUUAGUCGUCGUUACUCUAUAUCAGCUAACUUUUAUAACAAUAAUUGUACAGAACCAAGAGAAAGAGCAGUUAAAUUGACCAUCCUACCAUACUUAAAUACCUUAGAAAUAGCUAAAUAGAUGGUUAGUGAGAUGCUUCUUAUAAAUGCAGGAGAGACACUAGUAAUAAUUAUGGACAUAUAAGGAAUAUAGUUAAUAAAUUUGCAUGGAGCCCAUAUAUCUUGCAAAAGUUUGAAAAACUAUACGCCUAACAGAAACAAACGAUGGAGUGUAUGCAAAAAAAAAAAAGAUCUGAUAUGUGAAAAUGGUACUAGUAGAUUUGUUAUGGAAAAUACCUUCACGUAGUUAGAUUUUAAUUUUUUUUUAUAAAUGUAUUGUUAGAAAAGGAUUUUUUUUUAUGAAUGUGUUGUUAGAAAAGGAAUGAUCACACAUGUUCAACAAG
Molecule: long non-coding RNA, 4150 nt
Filed under: Oryza sativa (Asian cultivated rice)
Lineage: Eukaryota; Viridiplantae; Streptophyta; Magnoliopsida; Poales; Poaceae
Description: long non-coding RNA (OSAT_LNC000428)
Source: RNAcentral